UACGUAGGGGCCGAGCGUUGUCCGGAGUUAUUGGGCGUAAAGCGCGUGUAGGCGGCUUUGCAAGUCGGAUGUGAAAUCCCACGGCUCAACCGUGGAAGUGCAUCCGAAACUGCAUCGCUCGAGUCUCGGAGAGGAAGGUGGAAUGCUUGGUGUAGAGGUGAAAUUCGUAGAUAUCAAGCAGAACACCUGCGGCGAAGGCGGCCUUCUGGACGAUGACUGACGCUGAGACGCGAAAGCGUGGGGAGCAAACAGG
RNAcentral lists this ribosomal RNA (253 nucleotides) under uncultured bacterium. RNAcentral's name for it is "partial 16S ribosomal RNA". It matches the Rfam family "Bacterial small subunit ribosomal RNA", at positions 524 to 776 of the family's 1533-position model. The record is from RNAcentral.